GAUGAACGCUGGCGGUAUGCUUAACACAUGCAAGUCGAACGGACUCUUCGGAGUUAGUGGCGGACGGGUGAGUAACGCGUGAGAAUCUGGCUUUGGGUUCGGGACAACCACUGGAAACGGUGGCUAAUACCGGAUGUGCCGAGAGGUAAAAGAGAAAUUGCCUGAAGAUGAGCUCGCGUCUGAUUAGCUAGUUGGUGAGGUAAAGGCUCACCAAGGCAGCGAUCAGUAGCUGGUCUGAGAGGAUGACCAGCCACACUGGGACUGAGACACGGCCCAGACUCCUACGGGAGGCAGCAGUGGGGAAUUUUCCGCAAUGGGCGAAAGCCUGACGGAGCAAUACCGCGGGAGGGAAGAAGGCUCUUGGGUUGUAAACCUCUUUUCUUAGGGAAGAACAAAAUGACGGUACCUAAGGAAUCAGCAUCGGCUAACUCCGU
Molecule: ribosomal RNA, 434 nt
Filed under: uncultured bacterium
Lineage: Bacteria
Description: partial 16S ribosomal RNA
Rfam family: Bacterial small subunit ribosomal RNA
Source: RNAcentral